CGGCGUGCCUAAUACAUGCAAGUCGAGCGAAUGGAUUAAGAGCUUGCUCUUAUGAAGUUAGCGGCGGACGGGUGAGUAACACGUGGGUAACCUGCCCAUAAGACUGGGAUAACUCCGGGAAACCGGGGCUAAUACCGGAUAACAUUUUGAACCGCAUGGUUCGAAAUUGAAAGGCGGCUUCGGCUGUCACUUAUGGAUGGACCCGCGUCGCAUUAGCUAGUUGGUGAGGUAACGGCUCACCAAGGCAACGAUGCGUAGCCGACCUGAGAGGGUGAUCGGCCACACUGGGACUGAGACACGGCCCAGACUCCUACGGGAGGCAGCAGUAGGGAAUCUUCCGCAAUGGACGAAAGUCUGACGGAGCAACGCCGCGUGAGUGAUGAAGGCUUUCGGGUCGUAAAACUCUGUUGUUAGGGAAGAACAAGUGCUAGUUGAAUAAGCUGGCACCUUGACGGUACCUAACCAGAAAGCCACGGCUAACUACGUGCCAGCAGCCGCGGUAAUACGUAGGUGGCAAGCGUUAUCCGGAAUUAUUGGGCGUAAAGCGCGCGCAGGUGGUUUCUUAAGUCUGAUGUGAAAGCCCCACGGCCUCAACCGUGGAGGGUCAUUGGAAACUGGGAGACUUGAGUUGCAGAAGAGGAAAGUGGAAUUCCAUG
This 656-nucleotide ribosomal RNA is filed under the name Bacillus thuringiensis. RNAcentral describes it as "bacterial SSU rRNA". It matches the Rfam family "Bacterial small subunit ribosomal RNA", at positions 40 to 673 of the family's 1533-position model. The record is from RNAcentral. Lineage: Bacteria; Bacillati; Bacillota; Bacilli; Caryophanales; Bacillaceae.